Molecule: ribosomal RNA, 395 nt
Filed under: uncultured bacterium
Lineage: Bacteria
Description: partial 16S ribosomal RNA
Rfam family: Bacterial small subunit ribosomal RNA
Source: RNAcentral
AUACGUAGGGUGCAAGCGUUAAUCGGAAUUACUGGGCGUAAAGCGUGCGCAGGCGGUUUUUUAAGACAGUGGUGAAAUCCCCGGGCUCAACCUGGGAACUGCCAUUGUGACUGCAAGGCUGGAGUGCGGCAGAGGGGGAUGGAAUUCCGCGUGGAGCAGUGAAAUGCGUAGAUAUGCGGAGGAACACCGAUGGCGAAGGCAAUCCCCUGGGCCUGCACUGACGCUCAUGCACGAAAGCGUGGGGAGCAAACAGGAUUAGAUACCCUGGUAGUCCACGCCCUAAACGAUGUCAACUGGUUGUUGGGGAUUUAUUUUCUCAGUAACGAAGCUAACGCGUGAAGUUGACCGCCUGGGGAGUACGGCCGCAAGGUUGAAACUCAAAUGAAUUGACGGGG